Long non-coding RNA from Anopheles merus, 635 nucleotides. RefSeq lists it as uncharacterized. The record is from RefSeq and is a predicted model, not a curated record. The transcript has 2 exons. Lineage: Eukaryota; Metazoa; Arthropoda; Insecta; Diptera; Culicidae.
CGGUAGUCGAGUUGAAGCGACGAAGGGACUAUAAAUAAACCGAAUCACAACGGCCGAAAAAUCGCUGCCAAAAUGUCGACCGAGACCGUGACAGUGACAUUCAACCGUUUAUAAGUUGAAGGUGCGUUACCAAGCAACUGCCUCCUCCCCGAAUAUAAGGGGGUGUUCUAGGAACGCUAUUUCCGAUUAAUCCGGCCGUAUUUCCUCGUACCGGUAGUGAAAUAAAAUAUGUUACACCCAGCAACUAGCUCAAUGGAUUCGCUUUGCCGCUGGUGGCUCAAGCGUGGUACAGUACGGACGGUACUAGCCUGCCUCAGGCGAUGCUACGAACGGCACAACACUGUCCAGCGUGAGUUCAUCGCUGUACCGGUGCUCCGGUGAAGCCAGCUGUAAAAUGUAACCAGCAACAGAAAUAAACCCCGAAAACAAAACUAACGGUGCGUUUAGAGGAGGAAAAGCGAAGCUUCUUUCGAGGAAGAAGGCCAUGGAGACGCCCAGUAGUUUGUGAAGUGAUGGGAAGGAUUGAUUCCAAUUGGAUUUAGAAGUAAGGCUCAGUAAUGCGGGGAGGAGUGUUAGUUUCGACGGAAAUAGUUUUCUUCAAUAAAGAGCCCGUAUUGUGGAGCGAAAACUGAAAA